AAGAAAAAUAACUGUGGGCAGUUAUCUCGUCCAGGGACAAGCCCUUCUGAAUGUGAAAACUGCCCUCAGUAACGAGGGACUGUUACAGAUCUGUAAACUGUCAUUUCUGCUGGGAACCAACCUCACCAGGUGAGUGCUUUCUGUUGCCUCUGGUGUUGCUGAUCGUAUAUUGGCA
RNAcentral lists this long non-coding RNA (175 nucleotides) under Callithrix jacchus (white-tufted-ear marmoset). RNAcentral's name for it is "lncRNA (ENSCJAG00000078158.1)". The record is from RNAcentral. Lineage: Eukaryota; Metazoa; Chordata; Mammalia; Primates; Cebidae.